ACCUUUGCACAAUGGCAGUAUCAGCCAAUGAGGUUUAUCCGAGGUGUGAUUAUCGCUAAUUAAAAACAAAAAUAGAAUCACUUGAGAGUAAAUUGCACCAUCUGACUCUUCAACCCUAAAUACUUCAGCCUGAGUUUUCUGCGAAAAGGACUUUCUU
This 157-nucleotide small nuclear RNA is filed under the name Fukomys damarensis (Damara mole-rat). Its description in RNAcentral is "U4 spliceosomal RNA". The stretch from base 1 to 135 matches the Rfam family "U4 spliceosomal RNA". Rfam says of the family: U4 small nuclear RNA (U4 snRNA) is a component of the major U2-dependent spliceosome. The structure of U4 snRNA from yeast and human has been reported. U4 snRNA presents a k-turn RNA motif in the 5p-SL related to recognition of Snu13 protein. Lineage: Eukaryota; Metazoa; Chordata; Mammalia; Rodentia; Bathyergidae. The record is from Rfam by way of RNAcentral.